GGCCAGUGUGGUGUAGUGGUUUGAGUGCUGGACUACAACUGUGGAGUCCAGGGUUCGAAUCCCAGCUCGGCCA
This is a non-coding RNA of Phrynosoma platyrhinos (Desert horned lizard), 73 nucleotides long. Lineage: Eukaryota; Metazoa; Chordata; Lepidosauria; Squamata; Phrynosomatidae. The record is from the annotation of a GenBank genome assembly.